This is a non-coding RNA of Manis javanica (Malayan pangolin), 957 nucleotides long. The record is from RefSeq and is a predicted model, not a curated record. Lineage: Eukaryota; Metazoa; Chordata; Mammalia; Pholidota; Manidae.
CGCUGGCCAGCGGCUUUUCAAGUGGGGGCGCGUUUCCCAUGUCGGCGCGGGGAUCCUGGGCGCGUCGGAGCUCGAGCGUUCGGCCUCUCGCAAAGCACCCUUUCUGGACAGUUGCAGGUCACCCCUUUCCAGAUGAGAGCGAACCGAUUGCUAAAGUGAAGAGGCAAGCCCCUCGCUGCUGGUUGGAACACAGACAAGUCAUUGUGGGCCGUGUGGACAAGGUUAACUCCGAAGAAUGCCAAAGUAGAAGGAACUGAGCCCAACAACUUGGUGGAAUAGAUCUUCAGCUUUAAGGAUGAAGAUGUGGCGCCAGCCGAAAAGUUAUGUGCUUGUGGAAAAACACUGUUAUCUGCUUGUGGAAAAAUACUGUCUCUUUGAAAAUGCUAUAUAAACCCCUGGCUUUGAGUGCUCGGGGUCCUUGUUGAAACCCGCUGCGUCGGGCUGACACUUGGACCCCAGCUAGCUGGUUCCUGAAUAAAGUCCUCUUGCUUGUUGCAUAAAGAGACGCCUUCCGUGAGUGAAUUGGGGUGGCGUCCUCCUUUGGAGAGAUCCAACAUUUCUUGGGGGCUCGUCCGGGAUCGAACGUUCACCCCGCUUCACUCCGGGAGUCGCUCUUGGAGGAAGAGGUAAGGUUGGUGGCGCCUUGGGUUGUCUGUGUUUCAUUUUCUGUCUUUCAGUGCGACCGGUCGGAAUUCUGAAGGGGGUACCCUCCGUCUGGCAGCUGUCUCGAUCCCGUAAAGGGUUUGAGACCACGGUCAGUAGAUGUACUCGGAGCACCGCAGGCUGCAACCCUGGGGGACGCCUCAGGGAGAUUAGAGGGCCAGGGACGCCUGGUGACCUCUCACCUGUUUUUUCGGCAAGGUGAAUCUGAUGAGAUAGGGUUGAUUUUCGGGCGCCAAGAAUAUCAACCCUCCGAUUCCUUUCGGUUUCUGGUCAAAAAUCUGAAGAAAACAAGGA